This 646-nucleotide long non-coding RNA is filed under the name Neogobius melanostomus (round goby). RNAcentral describes it as "lncRNA (ENSNMLG00000012196.1)". The record is from RNAcentral. Lineage: Eukaryota; Metazoa; Chordata; Actinopteri; Gobiiformes; Gobiidae.
AUUGCUCCUUAUAUCCCUCCUAAAGGUUGCGGAAAUUUCAAGUAAAAAUUUUCACUUUGGGCUUUCUUUUUUGUAGGAUGGCCCAGUCAUCACAAGACUUCUAACAUUUAUCCCAUUAGUUUGGCACAUCAUCUUCAGAUAACCUUCAACUUAAAUGAUGUCCCGGUUACUGUGCAGGAAAAGUCCUGCGGGGAAGGCCCUUAGUACUUUACCAAUCAGCACACUACAGGACCAUGGGCUUUAAAAGUGUGCCUGUUCCUUUAUCCUGUACCAGUACAUGGCCAAGCACGCAGGGAACUGCACAAGAGGCUACUGCAGAAAUGGUGGUAAAAAAAAAUCCACAAAUACGACAAAAAGAACAGCUGGAGGAGGUGUGCAUGGAUCGGGAAGUCUGGGCAUCUCUGCUGAGACUGCUGCCUCCACGACCCGGCCCCGGAUAAAGCGGAAGAAAAUGGAUGGAUGGACGACAAAAAUAAAACUUUCUACAGAAAAUCAACAUCAUUUAGUGGAGCUUCAAACAUACAUAUAUGCAGAGAGUCAUUCACAAUAAAGGCCUGCAACUAACCAUUUCUGUCUGUCUGCUACACAGCAACUCCAGGAAUGAUUGAGACUUGGAUCUAUUGCUGAAAUAGAACCUGAAGAUGUG